UAAAAAGGCCCGUCUCCCUCAUGACGUUCUCUUGGAGUCGUUGCUAUCUCUUGACGAGAAACAUCUUCUCAUCAUGAGAGCAAAGUGGCGAAAGAAGCGUAUGCGCAGGCUGAAGCGUAAAAGGAGGAAGAUGAGGCAGAGGUCAAAGUAAACCGACCCCCAUCGCUGUAGCUGAGUGCUCUUUCAAAUCUCCUCUGCAAGAGUCUGCUGGAAGACACCCCUGAUCCCGGCCAAUCUUUUGAAAAAGGAAAUGGUUUUCCAUCGCUUGGUUCUGCAGCGCAUCUCUGGUCUUGAUUGACCUUGUGAACUGUUUUGGACAUUCCUCAGACUUUAUCAGCUCAGCCUUUUUGUUCAUGUCUACAAUAAAUUUUUGGUUUAAAAAAAAA
Long non-coding RNA from Xyrauchen texanus (razorback sucker), 386 nucleotides. RefSeq lists it as uncharacterized. The transcript has 4 exons. NCBI's taxonomy places the organism in Eukaryota, Metazoa, Chordata, Actinopteri, Cypriniformes, Catostomidae. The record is from RefSeq and is a predicted model, not a curated record.